Molecule: ribosomal RNA, 686 nt
Filed under: uncultured Curvibacter sp.
Lineage: Bacteria; Pseudomonadati; Pseudomonadota; Betaproteobacteria; Burkholderiales; Comamonadaceae
Description: bacterial SSU rRNA
Rfam family: Bacterial small subunit ribosomal RNA
Source: RNAcentral
GGCGAACGGGUGAGUAAUACAUCGGAACGUGCCCAGUCGUGGGGGAUAACGUAGCGAAAGCUACGCUAAUACCGCAUACGAUCUACGGAUGAAAGCGGGGGAUCGCAAGACCUCGCGCGAUUGGAGCGGCCGAUGGCAGUUUAGGUAGUUGGUGGGGUAAAGGCUCACCAAGCCGACGAUCUGUAGCUGGUCUGAGAGGACGACCAGCCACACUGGGACUGAGACACGGCCCAGACUCCUACGGGAGGCAGCAGUGGGGAAUUUUGGACAAUGGGCGCAAGCCUGAUCCAGCCAUUCCGCGUGCAGGAUGAAGGCCCUCGGGUUGUAAACUGCUUUUGUACAGAACGAAAAGGCUCUGGUUAAUACCUAGGGCUCAUGACGGUACUGUAAGAAUAAGCACCGGCUAACUACGUGCCAGCAGCCGCGGUAAUACGUAGGGUGCAAGCGUUAAUCGGAAUUACUGGGCGUAAAGCGUGCGCAGGCGGUGAUGUAAGACAGAGGUGAAAUCCCCGGGCUCAACCUGGGAACUGCCUUUGUGACUGCAUCGCUGGAGUACGGCAGAGGGGGAUGGAAUUCCGCGUGUAGCAGUGAAAUGCGUAGAUAUGCGGAGGAACACCGAUGGCGAAGGCAAUCCCCUGGGCCUGUACUGACGCUCAUGCACGAAAGCGUGGGGAGCAAACAGGAUU